Molecule: unclassified non-coding RNA, 341 nt
Filed under: soil metagenome
Description: partial contains 5.8S ribosomal RNA, internal transcribed spacer 2, and large subunit ribosomal RNA
Rfam family: 5.8S ribosomal RNA (bases 1-120)
Source: RNAcentral
GAUGAAGAACGUAGCGAAAUGCGAUAAGUAGUGUGAAUUGCAGAAUUCAGUGAAUCAUCGAAUCUUUGAACGCACAUUGCGCCCUUUGGUAUUCCAAAGGGCAUGCCUGUUCGAGCGUCAUUUGUACCCUCAACCUUUGCUUGGUGUUGGGCGUCUUGUCUCUAGCUUUGCUGGAGACUCGCCUUAAAGUAAUUGGCAGCCGGCCUACUGGUUUCGGAGCGCAGCACAAGUCGCACUCUCUAUCAGCAAAGGUCUAGCAUCCAUUAAGCCUUUUUUUCAACUUUUGACCUCGGAUCAGGUAGGGAUACCCGCUGCACUUAAGCAUAUCAAUAAGCGGAGGA